Camelus dromedarius (Arabian camel) is the source of this 1573-nucleotide RNA transcript. It is a transcript of the gene named GDP-fucose protein O-fucosyltransferase 2-like, with no coding region annotated. Lineage: Eukaryota; Metazoa; Chordata; Mammalia; Artiodactyla; Camelidae. The transcript has 6 exons. The record is from RefSeq and is a predicted model, not a curated record.
GCGCUAGGGGAGGGUCCCGCGGAGUUGCCAUGGUUACAGGCGCCACGCUCUGCGCGGGCCGGCGUGCGCUUCUGGGGCGGGUAGCGGGCUCCGGAAGUGUGCAGCUGCCCGGGACCAUGGCGGUGCUUGCUGCUGGGGAUGGCGGCUUGCUCGGCCGGGCGACUAGUUCUGGCCUGGUCAGUCGGCGGCCGACAUCCUGUCUGGGGCGGCGUCCCACAGACGGGAAAUUUCAGUUCCAUCCAGAUGUUGGUUCCUUCAGUCAACCUCAGGAAAAAGACACAAGGCCAGGUACCUUCUGUGUGACUUCAACCCUCCAGAGGGCUUCAACCUCCUUAGGAACGUCUGCAUCCACAUUGCCUUCCUCCUGAAGACCCUGCUGAAGAUGGAGGAGCCGGUACUGGUGCUAUUCCCUUGGGGCCACCUCUACCACUGGCAGAGCCCCGAUCCCUGGUCCGACUCCUUUGACCUCCCAAGUCUCAACAGAAACAUCCCUGACAUUGAGUACGAGCAGUUCGUUGCAGGCCUCUGAAUCCUCAGUCCAGGGAAGCUAAACCAUUCUAGCCUUCAUCGGUUCUGGGAAAGCAAUCUUCAGAGUGGGAAAAGACAUUGAAAAAUAAUAUUCUGUGAGUUGCAUUCUACCCUUGCCCAGAGAUGAGAAACAUCUGAAGGUGGAGGAAAACAGUUGGAGGGUUCACUUGGUGAUAAUAAUCAUAACCAAAGCAACAGCAAACCCUUACAGAACUCUGUCCUGCUGUUCCAGGAACGCUGUGUUCAUGACAACCCAAUGAGUUGGCACCACUAUGAGUUCCACUUUAAAGUGCCUGCCACCCUGGCCUCCCUGCUCAUCUGCCUCAGUCAGGAGCACCUGGACCACCAGCUCUGUAUUGCCUCGCCUCCUACCAUCAAGACGUCAAAGUUCAUUCUCCUUCCACCACCCAGUAUGGUCAUUGUAGGGUCUUCUUCUCUGUCAGCCUGAGCCAGCCACCCCCCAUUCACCCUACCCCCGGGCUCAUACCCGGGCGUGUCUCCACCCAAGGUCCAGCCUCUCUCCUUUAAGUGCCCACCUCUAGCCGUCCAGCUUCUUCUCCACCAGCCUCCCUGGCCCUCCUUCACCCUCACUGGGGCAUCAUGCGCUGACUCCUCUGCUUUCCUGCCUGUCCACGUUCCUCUUACUUCCACUUCCCCACCUUCCAGCUCUGCAUCCACAGUCAGCACUCUCUUUAUGACAGACAAAACCCCCUUGAGCCUUGACCUUUUCAGUUCCUCACCAGGCCGACUUCCAUCUCGGUUCACCCAGCUCUACUUGUUCUGAGCCUGCAGGCAGCAGGCUCUCCCAGCACAGAUUUCCAAGACUACAAAUCAAUGCCCACCAUGUUGCCGCUGCCAGGCAAUCCUCCAGGAUUUCUCUAGUGAGCACAUUUCCCCACUUAUCACUCAGUGGUGUCAACAUUCUCUGCUCUCUGCACACCUCUAACCUUCCCUCUGUCUCUUCCCUGACUCCCAGCAGAUGGCCUUGCCUCCUGCUUCAGAGAGAAUGACAUGUCACUGGAAAGGAACUGGCUCACCUGCAGCA